UGGGGAAUAUUGGACAAUGGGCGAAAGCCUGAUCCAGCCAUGCCGCGUGUGUGAAGAAGGUCUUCGGAUUGUAAAGCACUUUAAGUUGGGAGGAAGGGCAGUAAGCGAAUACCUUGCUGUUUUGACGUUACCGACAGAAUAAGCACCGGCUAACUCUGUGCCAGCAGCCGCGGUAAUACAGAGGGUGCAAGCGUUAAUCGGAAUUACUGGGCGUAAAGCGCGCGUAGGUGGUUCGUUAAGUUGAAUGUGAAAGCCCCGGGCUCAACCUGGGAACUGCAUCCCAAACUGGCGAGCUAGAGUAGGGCAGGGGGUGGUGGAAUUUCCUGUGUAGCGGUGAAAUGCGUAGGUAUAGGAAGGAACACCAGUGGCGAAGGCGACCACCUGGGCUCAUACAGACACUGAGGUGCGAAAGCGUGGGGAGCAAACAGG
This 429-nucleotide ribosomal RNA is filed under the name Pseudomonadota bacterium. RNAcentral's name for it is "Proteobacteria bacterium partial 16S ribosomal RNA". It matches the Rfam family "Bacterial small subunit ribosomal RNA", at positions 355 to 776 of the family's 1533-position model. The record is from RNAcentral. Lineage: Bacteria; Pseudomonadati; Pseudomonadota.